GACGAACGCUGGCGGCGUGCUUAACACAUGCAAGUCGAACGGGAGUUCGUAAACGGAAGCCUCUUUGGGAGAUUACUAAUGGGAGUGGCGAACGGUUGAGUAACGUGUAAGUAACCUUCCGAUGACAGUGGGAGAGCCUCUGGAAACUAGGAUUAAUACCGCAUGAGAUCGUAGAAACACAUUUUUGACCUGUCAAAGAUUUAUCGGUCAUAGAUGGGUUCGCGUGUGAUUGGCUAGUUGGUGAGAGAACCGGCCACCAAGGCGACGAUCAGUAGACGGUCUGAGAGGAUGAACGGACACAUUGGAAGUGAGACACGGUCCGAACUCCUACGGGAGGCAGCCGUGGGGAAUCUUGCACAAUGGGGGAAACCCUGAUGCAGCGACGCCGGGUGAACGAAGAAGGUAUUAGUAACGUAAAGUUCUGUACUAUGGGAAGAUAAUGACAGUACCAAAGAAGAAAGCACCGGCUAAAUACGUG
This 478-nucleotide ribosomal RNA is filed under the name uncultured bacterium. RNAcentral's name for it is "partial 16S ribosomal RNA". It matches the Rfam family "Bacterial small subunit ribosomal RNA", at positions 28 to 507 of the family's 1533-position model. The record is from RNAcentral.